AUGCAAAAGGGGAUUAUUGGCCUAAAUAUUGACUCGCGUUGGCCUUAUCCUUUGACGAACUCUACUGUGGAUUUAGAAGCAACGAAAAGAUGUAUGGACUUCAAGUUUGGCUGGAUACUAGAGCCCCUUACGUCCGGAGAUUAUCCAGAAACAAUGAAGAAAAUUGUUGGUUCUCGUCUUCCAUCCUUCACAAGAAUCCAGUCUGAAGCUAUAAUUGGUACUGCAGACUUCAUCGGGAUAAAUUACUACUAUUCCAUCUAUGUGAGCAAUUGCCCUUCAGACAAAGGCGUGCGCAACUAUACUGCAGACAUGUCAAUUAGCUCCAAAAGUAAGCAUCAUUGCUUUACUGUUCACAAAUACUCCUAUAUAGCAGCAGUUGUGGGCAAUGUCAUCUACUUAUCUGCUGACAACAGAAAGUUCACACUGCUAACAUAUAAACUGACUAGACAAUUCAUUACGCUUCUGAAAAAGAUUUACAACUCUGAGAUUUGUGAUCCAAAGGGCACAUCUAAAAAUAUACAUGUUUCUUUGAUGCAGCUUCUAAAACAGACCCACCAGCUGGAAAGGUAA
RNAcentral lists this ribosomal RNA (570 nucleotides) under Triticum aestivum (bread wheat). Its description in RNAcentral is "partial small subunit ribosomal RNA". The record is from RNAcentral. Lineage: Eukaryota; Viridiplantae; Streptophyta; Magnoliopsida; Poales; Poaceae.